RNAcentral lists this RNase P RNA (457 nucleotides) under Pseudorhodoplanes sinuspersici. RNAcentral describes it as "Bacterial RNase P class A". It matches the Rfam family "Bacterial RNase P class A". From Rfam's summary of the family: Ribonuclease P (RNase P) is a ubiquitous endoribonuclease, found in archaea, bacteria and eukarya as well as chloroplasts and mitochondria. Its best characterised activity is the generation of mature 5'-ends of tRNAs by cleaving the 5'-leader elements of precursor-tRNAs. Lineage: Bacteria; Pseudomonadati; Pseudomonadota; Alphaproteobacteria; Hyphomicrobiales. The record is from Rfam by way of RNAcentral.
UCAGUCGACCGGACGGCCGCUCCGCCAAAAUUCCGAAAGGAUGAUCCCGAAAGGGCGGCGGGGAGGAAAGUCCGGGCUCCACGGACGAACGGUGCCGGAUAACGUCCGGCGGGUGUGUCUUCCGCCCAAAGCGGCAGACGGGCUUAGGGAAAGUGCCACAGAAAAGCAGACCGCCUCGGGCGCGUUGCGUACCAGCCUGCGGCAAGGGUGAAACGGUGCGGCAAGAGCGCACCGCGUUUCCGGCAACGGAAACGGCACGGUAAACCCCACCGGGAGCAAAACCGAAUAGGAGCGGUGCGAGGGCAAAGGCUUGCCUUUGUCCUUGGGUCCGUCCGGACCAGCCGCUCGGGUAGGUUGCUUGAGGCGCCGGGCAACCGGCGUCCCAGACGAAUGGCCGUCACGUUCGCCGCGCAAGCGGCGAGCCAUACAGAACCCGGCUUACAGGUCGGCUGAUGAC